Molecule: ribosomal RNA, 305 nt
Filed under: uncultured bacterium
Lineage: Bacteria
Description: bacterial SSU rRNA
Rfam family: Bacterial small subunit ribosomal RNA
Source: RNAcentral
UGUCCUACGGGAGGCAGCAGUGGGGGAUAUUGCACAAUGGGGGAAACCCUGAUGCAGCGACGCCGCGUGAGUGAAGAAGUAUUUCGGUACGUAAAGCUCUAUCAGCAGGGAAGAAUAAUGACGGUACCUGACUAGGAAGCCCCGGCUAACUACGUGCCAGCAGCCGCGGUAAUACGUAGGGGGGCAAGCGUUAUCCGGAUUUACUGGGUGUAAAGGGAGCGUAGACGGCGGUGCAAGCCAGAUGUGAAAGCCCGGGGCUCAACCCCGGGACUGCAUUUGGAACUGUAUGGCUGGAGUGUCGGAGG